UAGCGUUUGAACACAUGGCAUGUGAUGGCUAUUACACCGUCCUCAUUAUUCCUCUCCAGAACAGCCUCUACAGCCCUGACGCACUGCACUGCUUCCACUGGCUAAAGAGACGUAGAGAUCUGGAAAGACAAAAAGACGUCCUGUGGGCUGGACUGCAGGUUGUGGAACAAACACAGCUGUGGUACCAGAAUCGCCUGAAGCUGAAUUUACAAAGGCAAGUUAGUUUCAGCACAGGAGACUUGGAUGGAGAGGGCAGGUGGUCCUGCGCUAUGCGGUCUUGUAUGCAGCGUGUGAAUGGCAGUCUGGGUAAUCUGAUUAGUGACUCCUGUGUCUGGAACAAUCUGGCCCCAGAGGAGAGUGGAGGAUCGGACUGGGACCUCCGGUGGAGCAAUGCCACAUUGGUCAAGGUUAUGAUCAGUAAUAAUAAUAGUAUUCUUAUUGUUUUUGUUUCUGUUGCACAGUCCUAUUUAUUAUCAACAUAACAAGCACUGUGUGGAUUUCAUAUACAGGAAGUGAAUCAGCAGAAUCAACAGAUUUCCAUGUUGGAGCUUGAGAAGGCACAACUUCUUCAGCAGCUGGUGUUUUACAGCACACCUGAUUGAUGACAUCCGCACAUUUUCAACUUUAAUUACAAAAGGGUUUAAUUCAAAUCACACAGUUAACGGUAAAUAGUUAAAAAUGCUUUGAAAAGACUGAAUGUUAAAAUUAAUUUAAGCUCUGGUAUACACCCAGUCCACCCU
RNAcentral lists this long non-coding RNA (740 nucleotides) under Sinocyclocheilus anshuiensis. RNAcentral describes it as "lncRNA (ENSSANG00000036477.1)". The record is from RNAcentral. Lineage: Eukaryota; Metazoa; Chordata; Actinopteri; Cypriniformes; Cyprinidae.